ACCUUUUAAAAGCACUCAUUGGGCCUUUCCCUAAUGACCCACUGAGCUGUCAAGAAAAGGCAAAGUAAAAACACCGCUUUUGGGUGAAGUGGCAGCAUGUUGUGCUGUGUUGUUUCGCUUCAACUGGUGGUGUGACAAGG
Pteronotus mesoamericanus is the source of this 140-nucleotide small nucleolar RNA. The record is from RefSeq and is a predicted model, not a curated record. NCBI's taxonomy places the organism in Eukaryota, Metazoa, Chordata, Mammalia, Chiroptera, Mormoopidae.